UAGCAUAUCAAUAAGCGGAGGAAAAGAAACCAACAGGGAUUGCCCUAGUAACGGCGAGUGAAGCGGCAACAGCUCAAAUUUGAAAUCUGGCGCAAGCCCGAGUUGUAAUUUGUAGAGGAUGCUUCUGGGUAGCGACCGAUCUAAGUUCCUUGGAACAGGACGUCAUAGAGGGUGAGAAUCCCGUAUGUGACCGGCCCGCACCCUUUACGUAGCUCCUUCGACGAGUCGAGUUGUUUGGGAAUGCAGCUCUAAAUGGGAGGUAAAUUUCUUCUAAAGCUAAAUACCGGCCAGAGACCGAUAGCGCACAAGUAGAGUGAUCGAAAGAUGAAAAGUACUUUGGAAAGAGAGUUAAAAAGCACGUGAAAUUGUUGAAAGGGAAGCGCCUGCAACCAGACUUCGCGGCAGUGUUCCGCCGGUCUUCUGACCGGUUCAUUCUCUGUCGCGAGGCCAUCAUCGUCUGGGCCCGCCGGAUAAGACCUUAGGAAUGUAGCUCACCUUCGGGGGAGUGUUAUAGCCUAGGGUGAUGCGGCGAGGCUCGGGCGAGGUCCGCGCUUCGGCAAGGAUGAUGGCGUAAUGGUUGUCGGCGGCCCGUCUUGAAACACGGACCAAGGAGUCUAACAUCUAUGCGAGUGUUCGGGUGUCAAACCCCUACGCGUAAUGAAAGUGAACGGAGGUGGGAACCGCAAGGUGCACCAUCGACCGAUCCUGAUGUCCUCGGAUGGAUUUGAGUAAGAGCAUAGCUGUUGGGACCCGAAAGAUGGUGAACUAUGCCUGAAUAGGGUGAAGCCAGAGGAAACUCUGGUGGAGGCUCGCAGCGGUUCUGACGUGCAAAUCGAUCGUCAAAUUUGGGUAUAGGGGCGAAAGACUAAUCGAACCAUCUAGUAGCUGGUUCCUGCCGAA
RNAcentral lists this ribosomal RNA (900 nucleotides) under Septoria crepidis. RNAcentral's name for it is "LSU rRNA". It matches the Rfam family "Eukaryotic large subunit ribosomal RNA", at positions 36 to 965 of the family's 3401-position model. The record is from RNAcentral. RNAcentral also lists the same sequence under 1 other name. Lineage: Eukaryota; Fungi; Ascomycota; Dothideomycetes; Mycosphaerellales; Mycosphaerellaceae.